This 465-nucleotide ribosomal RNA is filed under the name uncultured Klebsiella sp. RNAcentral's name for it is "bacterial SSU rRNA". It matches the Rfam family "Bacterial small subunit ribosomal RNA", at positions 338 to 795 of the family's 1533-position model. Lineage: Bacteria; Pseudomonadati; Pseudomonadota; Gammaproteobacteria; Enterobacterales; Enterobacteriaceae. The record is from RNAcentral.
CCUACGGGAGGCUGCAGUGGGGAAUAUUGCACAAUGGGCGCAAGCCUGAUGCAGCCAUGCCGCGUGUGUGAAGAAGGCCUUCGGGUUGUAAAGCACUUUCAGCGGGGAGGAAGGCGGUGAGGUUAAUAACCUCAUCGAUUGACGUUACCCGCAGAAGAAGCACCGGCUAACUCCGUGCCAGCAGCCGCGGUAAUACGGAGGGUGCAAGCGUUAAUCGGAAUUACUGGGCGUAAAGCGCACGCAGGCGGUCUGUCAAGUCGGAUGUGAAAUCCCCGGGCUCAACCUGGGAACUGCAUUCGAAACUGGCAGGCUAGAGUCGUGUAGAGGGGGGCAGAAUUCCAGGUGUAGCGGUGAAAUGCGUAGAGAUCUGGAGGAAUACCGGUGGCGAAGGCGGCCCCCUGGACAAAGACUGACGCUCAGGUGCGAAAGCGUGGGGAGCAAACAGGAGUAGAUACCCGGGUAGUC